RNAcentral lists this ribosomal RNA (529 nucleotides) under Staphylococcus aureus. RNAcentral's name for it is "bacterial SSU rRNA". It matches the Rfam family "Bacterial small subunit ribosomal RNA", at positions 936 to 1473 of the family's 1533-position model. Lineage: Bacteria; Bacillati; Bacillota; Bacilli; Caryophanales; Staphylococcaceae. The record is from RNAcentral.
AGCAUGUGGUUUAAUUUGACAUACGCGUAGAACCUUACCCACUCUUGACAUCCUUCGCAAAGCUAUAGAGAUAUAGUGGAGGUUAACGGAGUGACAGAUGGUGCAUGGUUGUCGUCAGCUCGUGUCGUGAGAUGUUCGGUUAAGUCCUGCAACGAGCGCAACCCCUAUCUUUAAUUACUACAUUAAGUUGAGGACUUUAAAGAUACUGACCAAGCAAUUGGUAGGAAGGUGGGGAUGACGUCAAAUCAUCAUGCCUCUUACGAGUGGGGCAACACACGUGCUACAAUGGCCGGUACAAAGAGAAGCAAGAUGGUGACAUGGAGCAAAUCUCAAAAAACCGGUCUCAGUUCGGAUUGAAGUCUGCAACUCGACUUCAUGAAGUUGGAAUCGCUAGUAAUCGUAGAUCAGCUACGCUACGGUGAAUACGUUCUCGGGUCUUGUACACACCGCCCGUCACACCAUGGGAGCUGGUAAUGCCCAAAGUCGGUUUAGCUAACCUCGGAGGCGACUGUCUAAGGCAGGACUGGUG